This 484-nucleotide ribosomal RNA is filed under the name uncultured bacterium. RNAcentral's name for it is "partial 16S ribosomal RNA". It matches the Rfam family "Bacterial small subunit ribosomal RNA", at positions 30 to 507 of the family's 1533-position model. The record is from RNAcentral.
AUUGAACGCUGGCGGCAGGCCUAACAUAUGCAAGUCGAGCGGAUGAAGGGAGCUUGCUCCUGGAUUCAGCGGCGGACGGGUGAGUAAUGCCUAGGAAUCUGCCUGGUAGUGGGGGAUAACGUCCGGAAACGGGCGCUAAUACCGCAUACGUCCUGAGGGAGAAAGUGGGGGAUCUUCGGACCUCACGCUAUCAGAUGAGCCUAGGUCGGAUUAGCUAGUUGGUGGGGUAAAGGCCUACCAAGGCGACGAUCCGUAACUGGUCUGAGAGGAUGAUCAGUCACACUGGAACUGAGACACGGUCCAGACUCCUACGGGAGGCAGCAGUGGGGAAUAUUGGGCAAUGGGCGAAAGCCUGAUCCAGCCAUGCCGCGUGUGUGAAGAAGGUCUUCGGAUUGUAAAGCACUUUAAGUUGGGAGGAAGGGCAGUAAGUUAAUACCUUGCUGUUUUGACGUUACCAACAGAAUAAGCACCGGCUAACUUCGUG